CGCUCUUUGUAAAUAUAAAAUAAGGAGUCGUACCUGCCCGGUGAAAAAUUUAACGGCCGCAGUACCCUGACUGUGCAAAGGUAGCAUAAUCAUUUGCCUUUUAAUUGAAGGCUGGAAUGAAUGGUUUGACGAAAUUCUUCUGUCUCUAUCUUAUUAAAUAGAAUUUAAUUUCUAGGUGAAGAAGCCUGAAUGAAGUCAAAAGACGAAAAGACCCUGUCGAACUUUAGAGUAAUUAUAAAAUUAUAUGUUUUUUAGAAUAAAUGUUUUUUAGAAUUUCUCUUUUGUUGGGGUGACAGAAGAACAAAUAAAGCUUCUUUUAGUUGAGGAAACUUAUAUGUUGAAAAGAUCCAUAAAAAUUUAUGAUAGUAAGAUAAGUUACCGCAGGGAUAACAGCGUUAUUUUUCUGGAGAGUUCAAAUUGAAGGAAAAGAUUGCGACCUCGAUGUUGGAUUGGAAUACCUAAUAGGCGGAGAAGCUUAUUGUUGGGGGUCUGUUCGACCUUUAAAUUUCCACA
Molecule: ribosomal RNA, 513 nt
Filed under: Liolophura japonica
Lineage: Eukaryota; Metazoa; Mollusca; Polyplacophora; Chitonida; Chitonidae
Description: partial 16S ribosomal RNA
Rfam family: Bacterial large subunit ribosomal RNA
Source: RNAcentral